RNAcentral lists this ribosomal RNA (443 nucleotides) under uncultured bacterium. RNAcentral describes it as "partial 16S ribosomal RNA". It matches the Rfam family "Bacterial small subunit ribosomal RNA", at positions 338 to 795 of the family's 1533-position model. The record is from RNAcentral.
CCUACGGGUGGCAGCAGUGGGGAAUAUUGGUCAAUGGGCGCAAGCCUGACCCAGCAACGCCGCGUGAAGGAAGAAUGCUUUCGGGUUGUAAACUUCUUUUCUGAGGGACGAAGAAAGUGACGGUACCUCAUGUAUAAGCCACGGCUAACUACGUGCCAGCAGCCGCGGUAAUACGGAGGUGGCAAUCGUUAUCCGGAUUUAUUGGGUGUAAAGGGCGUGUAGGCGGGAAAGCAAGUCAGAUGUGAAAACUCAGGGCUCAACCCUGAGACUGCAUUUGAAACUGUUUUUCUUGAGUGCUGGAGAGGCAAUCGGAAUUCCGUGUGUAGCGGUGAAAUGCGUAGAUAUACGGAGGAACACCAGUGGCGAAGGCGGAUUGCUGGACAGUAACUGACGCUGAGGCGCGAAAGCGUGGGGAGCAAACAGGAUUAGAUACCCUAGUAGUC